This 249-nucleotide ribosomal RNA is filed under the name uncultured prokaryote. RNAcentral's name for it is "partial 16S ribosomal RNA". It matches the Rfam family "Bacterial small subunit ribosomal RNA", at positions 524 to 772 of the family's 1533-position model. The record is from RNAcentral.
UACGGAGGAUGCAAGCGUUAUCCGGAUUUAUUGGGUUUAAAGGGUGCGUAGGCGGAUAUGUAAGUCAGCGGUGAAACUCACAGGCUCAACCUGUGCCGUGCCGUUGAAACUGUGUAUCUGGAAUGCGGAUGCUGUGGGAGGAAUGUGUAGUGUAGCGGUGAAAUGCAUAGAUAUUACACAGAGCACCGAUUGCGAAGGCAUCUCACAAAGCCGUUAUUGACGCUGAGGCACGAAAGUGUGGGGAUCAAA